This 460-nucleotide ribosomal RNA is filed under the name uncultured bacterium. RNAcentral describes it as "partial 16S ribosomal RNA". It matches the Rfam family "Bacterial small subunit ribosomal RNA", at positions 338 to 795 of the family's 1533-position model. The record is from RNAcentral.
CCUACGGGUGGCUGCAGUGAGGAAUAUUGGUCAAUGGGCGCGAGCCUGAACCAGCCCAGUAGCGUGAAGGAUGACUGCCCUACGGGUUGUAAACUUCUUUUAUCAAGGAAUAAAGUGAGGCACGUGUGCCUUUUUGUAUGUACUUUAUGAUUAAGGAUCGGCUAACUCCGUGCCAGCCGACGCGGUAAUACGGAGGAUCCGAGCGUUAUCCGGAUUUAUUGGGUUUAAAGGGAGCGUAGGUGGGUUGUUAAGUCAGUUGUGAAAGUUUGCGGCUCAACCGUAAAAUUGCAAUUGAUACUGGCAGGCUUGAGUACAGUUGAGGUAGGCGGAAUUCGUGGUGUAGCGGUGAAAUGCUUAGAUAUCACGAAGAACUCCGAUUGCGAAGGCAGCUUACUAAACUGCCACUGACAUUGAUGCUCGAAAGUGUGGGUAUCAAACAGGAUUAGAUACCCCUGUAGUC